AUUGAACGCUGGCGGCAGGCCUAACACAUGCAAGUCGAGCGAGCGGCGGACGGGGGAGUAAUGCCUGGGAAUUGCCCAGUCGGGGGGGAUACCAGUUGGAAACGACUGCUAAUACCGCAUACGAUUGGUUGGCCAAGGUGGGAUUGGCUGUUUGGUGGGGUAAUGGCUCACCAAGGCGACGAUCCCUAGCUGGUCUGAGAGGAUGAUCAGCCACACUGGAACGGAGAAACGGUCCAGACUCCUACGGGAGGCAGUAGUGGGGAAUAUUGCACAAUGGGGGAAACCCUGAUGCAGCCAUGCCGCGUGUGUGAAGAAGGCCUUCGGGUUGUAAAGCACUUUCAGCGAGGAGGCGUUACUCGCAGAAGAAGCACCGGCUAACUCCGUGCCAGCCGCCGCGGUAAUAC
This 404-nucleotide ribosomal RNA is filed under the name uncultured bacterium. RNAcentral's name for it is "partial 16S ribosomal RNA". It matches the Rfam family "Bacterial small subunit ribosomal RNA", at positions 30 to 526 of the family's 1533-position model. The record is from RNAcentral.